Trifolium pratense (red clover) is the source of this 558-nucleotide long non-coding RNA. RefSeq lists it as uncharacterized. Lineage: Eukaryota; Viridiplantae; Streptophyta; Magnoliopsida; Fabales; Fabaceae. The record is from RefSeq and is a predicted model, not a curated record. The transcript is spliced from 2 exons.
AACUAAAUGUGUAGUUAAGCAAAAAAAAAAAGACUUUUUUCCACACUAUAAAAUGAUCAACCAAUUCCUAUUUCUAGAUUCAUAAAAGAGAAAACAUGGCUGAAGUUUAUAUAUUUAUUUAUGCUAUGAUUAUUGUUUUUUCCAUAUUUAUUUCUAUAACAAACUGCAGUAAGUAAUUUUUAUCAACGCUUCUAAAUUUGGUGAACGGUCGUACUUGAGAGUUUAGUUUGAUUCUGGCAUAUCAAUAUGCGAAAGAACUCAGCAAUGCCAUGAUUUAAUCUGUCUCCAUCCUGAAAUUCCAUAUUGCAACUUCAAUAUUCAGAAUCCAAUAAAGUACAUCUUGGGAUUUGGGAUUUGUGAAUGUAUAAACCUUAAUAGGGGCUUAUGAAUGUGUGAAGACACUGUAAAAUGAUUUCUUUCAAAAUAAUGUUUAAAGAACGUUCUGGAGUUACUCGUUAGUAACAUCCUUAAAAUUAAAUAAGUGGUUUGUACCCAAAAAAAAAAGUGGUUUCUUAACUAGUGCCAUAUAUAGAUUCUAUAGCUAGCAUUUUUCAUUAA